GUCGGGACAACUCAACAAGGGAACGAGGAGCCUCAAGGGAGAUACCUGCAUAACACUGGAUGCAGUGAAGAAGGAAUCAGAAAUGUUCUUAUGUUUUAGUGGCGGAAUGGCAAGGCGUCCGGUUAGAUGACCUGGGUCCGUGGCGAGUUGGUGGCUCUCGACUACAAGAAGAUCAUUGAGGCAAUCGAUAGUAGAUUUCAACAAGAAUCUAUAAAGGGCUCUAAGGGAGUAGAGGAAUCAAAAGAAAACACCUGACAGUGCAAAGUGCACUUAGGCAGUAAGGUCAACACAAGACUACUCAUGAAACGCCUCCAUCAGGAGGCCAAAAUAUACACAUACGAACUCCCGGACAUUGCAUACCGGGGAGCUUUCUUCUAUUUAGGAUUUAAGGCUGAUAAUAUGCUCACGAAAAGACAGGAAUGCAGCACCACUCCAAUCUUUAGAAGGUCCCCACCCUGUUCUG
This 463-nucleotide ribosomal RNA is filed under the name Triticum aestivum (bread wheat). RNAcentral's name for it is "partial small subunit ribosomal RNA". Lineage: Eukaryota; Viridiplantae; Streptophyta; Magnoliopsida; Poales; Poaceae. The record is from RNAcentral.